AAGCUUAAGGGAUUAAGCAAAACGAAAGGAGGUACAGCUGAUGAAAUCUAGGCUAAACAAAAAGCCUAAACGCAAAGAACUAGAAGUCGAAAUCAAGAUUCUUUGGUUUAAGCUUAAGAUUCACUACUCAAUAGAGUGGUGAGGAUAAUUAGAGGGCUAAGAAGUCCUCUCCCCCUAACGGGGUAAGUUUAGUUUAGCACAUUGGCUGUAUCUCCGCAAGAAUGAAAGGAGAGGUUGCAUGAAUUGGAAAAAGCUAAUGCUUGGCAACUUAGAACACACGUUUACUAGUCAUGAUGGCAAAGAAA
RNAcentral lists this small RNA (305 nucleotides) under Streptococcus pyogenes. Lineage: Bacteria; Bacillati; Bacillota; Bacilli; Lactobacillales; Streptococcaceae. The record is from RNAcentral.